ACGGGAGGCAGCAGUGGGGAAUAUUGCACAAUGGGGGAAACCCUGAUGCAGUGACGCCACGUGAGUGAUGAAGUAUUUCGGUAUGUAAAGCUCUAUCAGCAGGGAAGAUAAUGACGGUACCUGACUAAGAAGCACCGGCUAAAUACGUGCCAGCAGCCGCGGUAAUACGUAUGGUGCAAGCGUUAUCCGGAUUUACUGGGUGUAAAGGGAGUGUAGGCGGCGAAGCAAGUCAGAUGUGAAAGCCCGGGGCUCAACUCCGGGACUGCAUUUGAAACUGUUUUGCUAGAGUAUCGGAGAGGUCAGUGGAAUUCCUAGUGUAGCGGUGAAAUGCGUAGAUAUUAGGAAGAACACCGGUGGCGAAGGCGGCUGACUGGACGAUAACUGACGCUGAGGCUCGAAAGCGUGGGGAGCAAACAGGAUUAGAUACCCUGGUA
RNAcentral lists this ribosomal RNA (434 nucleotides) under uncultured Lachnospiraceae bacterium. Its description in RNAcentral is "partial 16S ribosomal RNA". It matches the Rfam family "Bacterial small subunit ribosomal RNA", at positions 341 to 792 of the family's 1533-position model. The record is from RNAcentral. Lineage: Bacteria; Bacillati; Bacillota; Clostridia; Lachnospirales; Lachnospiraceae.